Molecule: long non-coding RNA, 642 nt
Organism: Haplochromis burtoni (Burton's mouthbrooder)
Lineage: Eukaryota; Metazoa; Chordata; Actinopteri; Cichliformes; Cichlidae
Exons: 3
Source: RefSeq, a predicted model, not a curated record
UGAAAGCCAUGAAGUCACCACCAGUCCUACAGAAACACAUUUAUCUCUCUCUUUCUAUGUUGUAAUUGGAGUGCUUGUAGUUACCAUCAUAUCUGGAGUCAUCCUUGGAUUUAUUCACAGAAAGAAAUGCCACAGAGGACAGCAGGUGCCCACCAGUCAUGAAAACACAGAACUGUACACGCGUGCAGAAUACACUGAGCCGUCUGUCUUCAUGCCAACAGAAAGUGAGCUUCUUUUCAUUUCUAAAGUCAACACAUGUACCACUUAUUUCAGUGUUUGAAUAAAAAUCCAAAUUUAGGGAUUUUUCUUAAUAAGUAAUUGAAAUGGAAGAAUUUGUAUUUGUAAUCUUGUUAUGUAACAUCUACCUCUAUAAGAUGCAGGCUUUUCUUGUCCAUAUCUGUGUUGCUUCACUUUACAUUUCACUCAUCUGUAGCUGUUUGAGGAAAUAGUUGUUUUUUACAGUUUGUUUUACGGUUCAUGUUGAAUGUUUAAAACCGGACAAAUAAAGGUUGGUUUUAUCAUGUGUGCAUGUGCUGCUCCACUAAUGUGACGUGACAAUAAAAGUGACUUGAUUUGAUUACCAUCCUCUGUAACAAAAAUAAAAUGAAAUUUUAAUAUCACACAGUGAAAUAGUGAUUUUGC